CAACGCGAAGAACCUUACCUGGUCUUGACAUCCACAGAACUUGGCAGAGAUGCCUUGGUGCCUUCGGGAACUGUGAGACAGGUGCUGCAUGGCUGUCGUCAGCUCGUGUUGUGAAAUGUUGGGUUAAGUCCCGCAACGAGCGCAACCCUUAUCCUUUGUUGCCAGCGGUNNGGCCGGGAACUCAAAGGAGACUGCCAGUGAUAAACUGGAGGAAGGUGGGGAUGACGUCAAGUCAUCAUGGCCCUUACGACCAGGGCUACACACGUGCUACAAUGGCGCAUACAAAGAGAAGCAAUCUCGCGAGAGCUAGCGGACCUCAUAAAGUGCGUCGUAGUCCGGAUUGGAGUCUGCAACUCGACUCCAUGAAGUCGGAAUCGCUAGUAAUCGUGAAUCAGAAUGUCACGGUGAAUACGUUCCCGGGCCUUGUACACACCGCC
RNAcentral lists this ribosomal RNA (437 nucleotides) under Enterobacter sp. REI_52. RNAcentral's name for it is "bacterial SSU rRNA". It matches the Rfam family "Bacterial small subunit ribosomal RNA", at positions 957 to 1394 of the family's 1533-position model. The record is from RNAcentral. Lineage: Bacteria; Pseudomonadati; Pseudomonadota; Gammaproteobacteria; Enterobacterales; Enterobacteriaceae.